GAGGAGAGCAAUGUCAGUAUCAAGUCCCUCUCUUACUCUCAGCUUUCUUAUUUUCAAAAAGAGUAUUAUGUUCAUAAUAAUUAAUGAGAAGAAAACCCUGAAUAAGGUGGAUAUGACCCUCUUUUAAACUACCCAGUUAUGAAAGCGCAGUUUAUAUCUCUUUACGGGAGAAGUUCUUAUACUAAAGUUACAGGCAUUUCUGGAAAAAUAAUAAAUUGACUUUAUGAAAUAUAUUUUCUUGUGAAAGAAAAUCCUUAUCAUUAAAAAUUACUUCAUCUUUA
Long non-coding RNA from Zophobas morio, 281 nucleotides. RefSeq lists it as uncharacterized. The record is from RefSeq and is a predicted model, not a curated record. The transcript is spliced from 2 exons. NCBI's taxonomy places the organism in Eukaryota, Metazoa, Arthropoda, Insecta, Coleoptera, Tenebrionidae.